RNAcentral lists this transfer RNA (65 nucleotides) under Chelonia mydas (Green sea turtle). It matches the Rfam family "tRNA". From Rfam's summary of the family: Transfer RNA (tRNA) molecules are approximately 80 nucleotides in length. Their secondary structure includes four short double-helical elements and three loops (D, anti-codon, and T loops). The record is from Rfam by way of RNAcentral. Lineage: Eukaryota; Metazoa; Chordata; Testudines; Cheloniidae.
AGGAUAGCCCAGUGGUUAGGGCAUUAGUUUGGGACUCCAGAGGCCUGGGUUCAAUUCUCUGUUCU